RNAcentral lists this ribosomal RNA (1751 nucleotides) under Vannella mustalahtiana. Its description in RNAcentral is "SSU rRNA". It matches the Rfam family "Eukaryotic small subunit ribosomal RNA", at positions 55 to 1659 of the family's 1831-position model. Lineage: Eukaryota; Discosea; Flabellinia; Vannellidae. The record is from RNAcentral.
AAGUCUAAGUAUAAAUCAAUUUUACUGAUGAAACUGCGAACGGCUCAUUAAAUCAGUUAUAAUUUAUUUGAUGGUACGGGAGAAAUCCCACUACAUGGAUAACUGUAGUAACCUAGAGCUAAUACAUGCAAAUCAGUCAAACUUUUUGGAAUGACUGGCACUUAUUAGAUAACAAACCAAUAUGUAGCAAUACAUUCUUAUGGUGAAUCAUAAUAACUGAACAGAUCGCAUGGUCUUGUACCGGCGACGUUUCAUUCAAAUUUCUGCCCUAUCAACUAGAUGCUAGUAUAGAGUACUAUCAUGGUUUUCACGGGUAACGGGGAAUUAGGGUUCGAUUCCGGAGAAGGAGCAUGAGAAACGGCUACUACUUCUAAGGAAAGCAGCAGGCGCGCAAAUUAUUCAAUGGAAACAAAUUUCCGAAAUAGUGACAAAAAAUAACGAUGCAUGGCCAUAUGGUUGUGUAAUUGAAAUGAGUACAAUUUAAAUCCCUUAACGAGUAACAAUUAGAGGGCAAGUCUGGUGCCAGCAGCCGCGGUAAUUCCAGCUCUAGUAGCGUAUAUUAAUGUUGUUGCAGUUAAAAAGCUCGUAGUUGAAACUUGAAUGUUGUAAUAGAUUUGGUUUUCUAAUUUAUUAGUAUAACUAUCUAUUCACAUUCUUCCUACUAGUAACUCGAUUCUGUUCUUAAUUGAAUGGAAUAGCAGUCUUUUCGGGGAUUGUCGAAUAGAGUGUUAAACUCCACCAUUUGUAUGGAUUUAUGUAAAAGUAGAAAAAAUAUGAUGAGUGGAUCAAGUUUAGUAUUUUAUUUGGAGUUCUAGUUCAUUUACUUUGAGAAAAUUAGAGUGUUUAAAGCAGCCUCUUGGGGCUCUGAAUACAUUAGCAUGGGAUAAUAGAAUAGGAUUUCAAUCAUAUUAUUGGUUUGAAUGGAUGAAAUAAUGAUUAAGAGGAACAGUUGGGGGUAUUUAUAUUGGAUGGGGACCGGUGAAAUGGGUGGAUCCAUUCAAGAUAAACUAAAGCGAAAGCAUUUACCAAGGAUGUUUUCAUUAAUCAAGAACGAAAGUUAAGGGAUCGAAGACGAUUAGAUACCGUCGUAGUCUUAACUAUAAACUAUGCCGACCAGGGAUAUGAGUUGUUAUGAAUACCCUCUAAAAAGGGUAUUCAAUUUCCUCUCGUGGACCUUGUGAGAAAUCAUAAGUUUUUGGGUUCUGGGGGGAGUAUGGUCGCAAGGCUGAAACUUAAAGGAAUUGACGGAGGGGCACCACCAGGAGUGGAGCGUGCGGCUUAAUUUGACUCAACACGGGAAAACUUACCAGGUCCAGACAUUAGAAGGAUUGACAGAUUGAUAGCUCUUUCAUGAUUUGAUGGGUGGUGGUGCAUGGCCGUUCUUAGUUGGUGGAGUGAUUUGUCUGGUUAAUUCCGAUAACGAACGAGACCUUUACCAUACUAAAUAGUUUAUUUUAUCUUUUGAUAGAAAACAUUAAAAAAACUUCUUAGAGGGACUAUUGGUUUUUAAACCAAAGGAAGUAAAGGCGAUAACAGGUCUGUGAUGCCCUUAGAUGUUCUGGGCUGCACGCGCGCUACAAUGAUAAACUCACCGAGUAAUUAUACUUUUAUUAGUAUUUUGCUUAUCCGGAAGGAUUGGCUAAUCUUAAACGUUUAUCGUGCUUGGGAUAGAUGAUUGCAAUUAUUUAUCUUGAACCAGGAAUUCCUAGUAAUCGUAUAUCAUCAGUGUGCGAUGAUUACGUCCCUGCCCC